AUUGAACGCUGGCGGCAUGCCUUACACAUGCAAGUCGAACGGUAACGCGGGGCAACCUGGCGACGAGUGGCGAACGGGUGAGUAAAGUAUCGGAACGUGCCCAGUAGUGGGGGAUAGCCCGGCGAAAGCCGGAUUAAUACCGCAUGAGACCUGAGGGUGAAAGCGGGGGAUCGCAAGACCUCGCGCUAUUGGAGCGGCCGAGAUCAGAUUAGGUAGUUGGUGGGGUAAAGGCCUACCAAGCCGACGAGCUGUAGCUGGUCUGAGGGGACGACCAGCCACACUGGGACUGAGACACGGCCCAGACUCCUACGGGAGGCAGCAGUGGGGAAUUUUGGACAAUGGGCGCAAGCCUGAUCCAGCCAUGCCGCGUGCGGGAAGAAGGCCUUCGGGUUGUAAACCGCUUUUGUCAGGGAAGAAAUCUUCUGGGCUAAUACCUCGGGAGGAUGACGGUACCUGAAGAAUAAGCACCGGCUAACUACGUGCCAGCCGCCGCAGUAA
RNAcentral lists this ribosomal RNA (498 nucleotides) under uncultured bacterium. Its description in RNAcentral is "partial 16S ribosomal RNA". It matches the Rfam family "Bacterial small subunit ribosomal RNA", at positions 29 to 523 of the family's 1533-position model. The record is from RNAcentral.